RNAcentral lists this ribosomal RNA (254 nucleotides) under uncultured bacterium. RNAcentral's name for it is "partial 16S ribosomal RNA". It matches the Rfam family "Bacterial small subunit ribosomal RNA", at positions 524 to 776 of the family's 1533-position model. The record is from RNAcentral.
UACGUAGGGGGCGAGCGUUGUCCGGAUUUAUUGGGCGUAAAGAGCUCGUAGGCGGUUCGGUAAGUCGGGUGUGAAAACUUUGGGCUUAACCCAAAGCGUGCACUCGAUACUGCCAUGACUAGAGUUCGGUAGGGGAGUGGGGAAUUCCUAGUGUAGCGGUGAAAUGCGCAGAUAUUAGGAGGAACACCGGUGGCGAAGGCGCCACUCUGGGCCGAAACUGACGCUGAGGAGCGAAAGCGUGGGUAGCAAACAGG